CAAGCGCCACGAUAUUUUGCAGCCAAAAGAAUUGCAUGGUUCUGUCUGCAAGCUGCUGGACUUCCAGGAUGGAGCUGUGUACACUCAGGUUUAUCAUAUGCUCAGCUCAUCCAUCUGUGUCUCAGUCUCCAGUGGACUCAUGAGUUUCAUCAAGAAAACCAUUUUCAAACCAGCAGACCAAAACAGAUCGUUUUCGGCUCCAAGCUCCAUCGAGGCUUUGCAGUAAUUUUACCUUGUGUUUACGAUUUAUGGAUGCAACAUAUACACAGAGCAGACAAGAGUGGUCCAAAUAUUUUCCCCUUGCAGGUUGCUUCACAGAACGCAGACUCUUCUUCGCAGAGAUCACGUUGGGGAGGGAAUCGAUAA
Molecule: long non-coding RNA, 366 nt
Filed under: Anser brachyrhynchus (Pink-footed goose)
Lineage: Eukaryota; Metazoa; Chordata; Aves; Anseriformes; Anatidae
Description: lncRNA (ENSABRG00000009545.1)
Source: RNAcentral